Non-coding RNA from Podarcis lilfordi (Lilford's wall lizard), 74 nucleotides. NCBI's taxonomy places the organism in Eukaryota, Metazoa, Chordata, Lepidosauria, Squamata, Lacertidae. The record is from the annotation of a GenBank genome assembly.
AGUGCUGUGGCUCAGUAGCAAAGCACCUGUGUUACAUGCAUAAGGUCCCAGGUUCAAACCCCCUGGCAGCUCUG